RNAcentral lists this long non-coding RNA (341 nucleotides) under Mytilus galloprovincialis (Mediterranean mussel). The record is from RNAcentral. Lineage: Eukaryota; Metazoa; Mollusca; Bivalvia; Mytilida; Mytilidae.
GGCCCUGUAUUAAUGCCCGGUUUGUCUGUAUAAAGCACAGUUAGGGUUUUUAAUAAAGUUAAUAAAAUUAAGUUGUAAAGAGUAUAAUACUUUUUUGUAUUUAAUUUGAUUUAGUAACCAGCAACCAACAUUAAAGAACCAUAUAUAGGGAUCACUGUUCCUCCUGUUUUUCAACACAUAACUUCUGUCAACUUAAUAUCUUGGAUAUUUGGUAAAUUAACACAUACACUUUUAUUCAGUUGGUUAAUAAAUGUAUUAAGAAAUGGGUGUUUUUGUAAUGGCUCUGUUAUAUGUCCUCGGUCAGUAAUAAUGGCCUCGGAUGUCUGUAAUGGCCCUCGGCG